CGGUCUGGUGGCGAGUGGCGAACGGGUGAGUAAUGUAUCGGAACGUGCCCAGUCGUGGGGGAUAACGUAGUGAAAAUUACGCUAAUACCGCAUACGAUCUAUGGAUGAAAGCGGGGGAUCGCAAGACCUCGCGCGAUUGGAGCGGCCGAUAUCAGAUUAGGUAGUUGGUGGGGUAAAGGCCUACCAAGGCGACGAUCCGUAGCUGGUUUGAGAGGACGACCAGCCACACUGGGACUGAGACACGGCCCAGACUCC
RNAcentral lists this ribosomal RNA (255 nucleotides) under uncultured bacterium. RNAcentral's name for it is "partial 16S ribosomal RNA". It matches the Rfam family "Bacterial small subunit ribosomal RNA", at positions 81 to 339 of the family's 1533-position model. The record is from RNAcentral.